AGAGUUUGAUCCUGGCUCAGGAUGAACGUUGGCGGCGUGCCUAACACAUGCAAGUCGAACGGUAGGUUCCCUUCGGGGAGUUGAGAGUGGCGCACGGGUGAGUAACACGUAACUGAUCUGCCCUGUAGAGCGGGAUAACUUGUGGAAACAUGGGCUAAUACCGCAUGAGCUCACGGUAGUUAGAGAGCAGUGAGAAAAUGCAUAUGCGCUACGGGAUGAGGUUGCGUCCCAUCAGCUAGUUGGUGAGGUAAAGGCUCACCAAGGCGAUGACGGGUAGGGGACCUGAGAGGGUGACCCCCCACACUGGGACUGAGACACGGCCCAGACUCCUACGGGAGGCAGCAGUGAGGGAUAUUGCACAAUGGACGGAGGUCUGAUGCAGCGACGCCGCGUGGGCGAAGAAGGUUUUCGGAUCGUAAAGUCCUUUUCUAUGUGACGAGAUAGGACGGUAGCAUAGGAAUAAGUGUCGGCUAACUACGUGCCAGCAGCCGCGGUAAAACGUAGGACGCGAACGUUAUCCGGAGUUACUGGGCGUAAAGCGCGCGCAGGCGGUCAGCUAAGUCUUCUAUGAAAGUUACCGGCUAAACUGGUAGAGUGUAGAAGAAACUGUCUGACUAGAGAGAAAUAGAGGGAAGUAGAAUUCCGGGUGUAGUGGUGAAAUGCGUAGAUAUCCCGGAGGAAUACCGGUGGCGAAGGCGGCUCCCUGGAUUUCCACUGACGCUGAGGCGCGAAAGCGUGGGUAGCGAACGGGAUUAGAAACCCCGGUAGUCCACGCUGUAAACGAUGUACAUUAGGCGUUCGGUUGUCGUUAGGCAAUUGAGUGUCGCAGCAAACGCGAUAAGUGUACCGCCUGGGGAGUACGGUCGCAAGGCUAAAACUCAAAGGAAUUGACGGGGGCCCGCACAAGCAGCGGAGCGUGUGGUUUAAUUCGAGGCUACGCGAAGAACCUUACCUGGGUUUGACAUGCUGGUAGUACGGAAGCGAAAGCGGAAGGACCCUUCGGGGAGCCAGCACAGGUGCUGCAUGGUUGUCGUCAGUUCGUGCCGUGAGGUGUUCGGUUAAGUCCGCAAACGAGCGCAACCCUCGGAGCUAGUUACAAGUGUCUAGCUCGACUGCCCGUGACAAACGGGAGGAAGGUGGGGAUGACGUCAAAUCAGCAUGGCCUUUAUAUCCAGGGCGACACACACGCUACAAUGGUCGAUACAAUGGGUGGCGAAGGCGCGAGUUGGAGCGAAUCCUAAAAAGUCGAUCUCAGUUCGGAUUGCAGGCUGCAACUCGCCUGCAUGAAGUCGGAGUUGCUAGUAACCGCGAAUCAGCACGUUGCGGUGAAUACGUUCCCGGGCCUUGUACACACCGCCCGUCACGUCAUGGAAGUUGGUCGAGCCUGAAGUCGGGAAGCUAACCUUCGGGGGGCUACUGCCUAGGGCAGGGUUGAUGACUGGGACGAAGUCGUAACAAGGUAGCC
RNAcentral lists this ribosomal RNA (1465 nucleotides) under uncultured bacterium. RNAcentral's name for it is "bacterial SSU rRNA". It matches the Rfam family "Bacterial small subunit ribosomal RNA". The record is from RNAcentral.